Molecule: long non-coding RNA, 20286 nt
Filed under: Hordeum vulgare
Lineage: Eukaryota; Viridiplantae; Streptophyta; Magnoliopsida; Poales; Poaceae
Description: long non-coding RNA (HVUL_LNC008100)
Source: RNAcentral
UCAUGCUUAGGCUGAGGAAGGUUGGUGAAAACAUUACCUAUCCAUCCAUCCAUUAAUUUUGUGACCAAUUCAUUGCGUACCGAUCGUACCUAAGCCUCAAUUACCAUUUAUAAGUGCCGGUCAUGCUUAUGCUCUGCUCCAUUUUAUUUGCUCACCCUAGACACGACGCUAAACACUUGUUUGCCAAGCUUUUCAGAGACAGUGCGUUCGGAACCUGUAUGCCUCAUACACCUUUUGGAAUUUAUGGAAGGAGUGAAAUGCUCGAAUUUGUUGCUUAUCAGGAUUGUAGAGAAUUCUGUUAACAGUCGGUUGUAUCAAUGUAUAAAUAAACCAGUAUUUGCUGCUGUAGAUGCAGAAUGAAAAUUUGGCAUUCGUUGCGUGAAAAACUACUGUGUACAGGUUAUUCUGUUUUAUAUACUCUGUUUCCUCUUGCUCAGUUAACACGGUGUGAAGGACAAGCACAAAUUCAUUUGUGUGUGUACAGGUUACUCUCGGUAGUAUUCCAGAUUUUGUAUCCAAUGCAUACCGCAUUGUAUUGCCACCCCAUGAGUUUGAAAAUUUGAUGUGUUAUAUUCUUAACUCUUUGGAACUGUAUCAUAUUCACUUAGUCGUGAAUUAUAGAGCAUUGCUUGUUUACACAAUUUAUUUACAGUUUUAUUGAGUACUGCCUGCCAUUUUUCUAUAAUACUCACCUCUAUACUCAUAUAUGAAUGUUCAGCUAUAUAGCAUUUAUUUGAUACAAAAUCGUUUUUUUAAAGGAGGAUAUACCCCGGCCUCUGCAUCUAGGUGAUGCGUACAUCCACUUUAUUAAUUAUUUAUAAAAAAACUUACAAAAUGAUACAUUAGUAAACCUGAAUCCACCGUUUUGUGUGGUAGGUGGAGUUGUGUCCUGAUAAUUGGUGGUUGGAUCAAAGCAGACUCUUGGUCUUGUCAUCUUAAAUGUUGCGGUUGCGGAACUGGAGGCUCUUUGUCAGUUGAAAGUUGAAACUAGUAUUUCAGAGCAUGUUGUUUCGGAUGCGGGCAUGGCUCGAGAGCGAGGUGAAUGCUACCUUUUUUGCAGAUGUAGGUUUUGGAGACGUUUUAACAUGCAACGAUCAGCAAACUGCUUGCUCUUAUGGGAAAAUCUGAAUUGGCUGUGCCAAAUUUUGCUACAAAUGGAUGUCAUUCUGUGUUACAGACAGUAUGCCAUUCUAGCUAGCUUUUGGGAUUUGUUCCUAACUAUACAACCAUUGUGAGAUUUAGGGUCAGCUUUCAAGUUUGUUUUGCAGAUGGAUUAAAGCAAGUUAAGGACGACACAAAAAUAAGAUUGGCCUUUUUCUGCUUAUGCUGGAGCUGUUGGCUGGUGGUUGUGGCAAUGCUCUGUCGAUGAACAAUUGGGUUUUGUUUGUUUGGUUGUCAACUUUUUGGCGUAUCAUUACUCUCUUGUCAAUUCAUUUUUCUACCCAAUAUUUUCAUUUAUAGGUGACCAAAUUUUGUUGUGGGGUAAAAAGCAUUGGUCUCUUUGGUGCAAAUUCUUGGAGAUACAUUUGCUUUUCUAGGGCAAUUCUGAUUCAUAUACAUUGCUAAGUGUAAAGUUGUACUGUAGUGAAAACAAAGAGAGUAGUAGAUUUUGCUGGUUGCCUGCUCAGGUACGUGCCGGUUACAGGGGUGCCGCUUCCUACACUAGCGACAGGAUACCCAAGGCUGUGGUAGCCCCUAAGCCACAGUUUGUCAUGGGAGAGCCUUUGGUCAGCAAAGAUGAUCUCCCAAUAAAUAUGUAUUACUUGCAUCAAUGGUACUUAAGUGAAUUAAAGAAUGGGAGAACGAUGAUCGUGCUGAGUGUCCCACGGGAGUACUACGGCCGCUCCAAAAAAAUCCAUAUCGACUUUGAUGAACUCUUCCAGAUGUACAAUGGCGACGCCCUCGACAAAUCGCUUAUGAGUUGCUAUUGUCUGUAAGUUUUUCAAUUCGUUGUCUACAUAUAACUUGUUUAGUUAUUUCAAUUCAUUGUCUAUAUAUAACUUGUACUCUAUUAUGCAGAAUGAAGAUUCUAGAUUGUAAAAGUAAGACCAUCCUAAAUAUUGGGUUUAUUGACCCAGAUAAAAUACAUAUAGCGAUGCUAACUGAUAAACCCAAGGGGACGGAGGAAAACCUUCUAAGGUUUCUAAUAGAUCAAAAUUUCUGUGACCACAUACUGUUUCCAUACAACUUCAGGUGAGGGUCUUUACUCUGUUGUGUCCAUUCACUUAUAAGUGUAAUUGAUAAGUUACUGACACACACACACACAUAUAUAUAUAUAUAUACAUGUGCAGCUUCCAUUGGAUUCUGUUGGACAUUCAAAUUGAUAAGGGAAGAGUUGAUGCCUUCGACCCAUUAUUGAGACCCUUGUAACAGUUCCAAAGCUUGCAGGACAUGCUCCAAGGGUAAUUUUAAUCAUUCUUGCGCUCUAUCGGUCUCUUUCGAUGAUUUUCUGAUAUAUCAAUUAAUGAAAAACUUAGCAAAUCAUUAUCCUUGUCGGGCAGGGUUUGGAAGCGGUUCAAGUGCGUGACUCCCGGUAACUUUCAUGAGAAGCUGAUCUUUAGAGCGGCUCAGGUAAGUAGUAGUAUGAUAUACUUCUAUUAAUUUUCAAUACAUUUAUGAUGCUAGAUUAUUAUUUUGAUUAUAUAUAUUCUAUUCUCGUAAAGUGCGACCAGCAGCCACGGGGAACGCAUCUAUGCAGAUACUAUGUUUGCGAGACCAUUCGCACGUUUACCUCUGAGCUCAAGGAUCACAGAUUCGACGUAAGCAAUGAACAUUCACACCUCUAUUUUUACCCGUCAUUCUUUGUUAUCAUGAUUGAUAUUCAUAUUCAUCUCCUCUUCUUCUAUAGCACACGGCCAUGAGGACGAAUGUCCUACCAGAGCAACGUGUGAUUGCUGUUGCAGAGGAGCUUGCGGGAUUUCUGAGGACGGAAGUUAUAGAUGACAAAGGACGAUUUAGUGUAACUAGGGGCCAUUACUGAUGUUCGUCCAUGUAAUCGAAUAGACGGGCUCUAGUCCCGAUAAUUCAGAUCUCCAUAUAAUUGUAUAUAUAUGCUCGCUUGUAAGAUAAGUUAAUCUUAUAUAUACAUAUGCAUAAUUAUUUCUAUUUAAAUUAUAUGAAAACUAGUUCCCGAACACCAAACGAGGCAUCACGUUACUGUGCCGAACACCUAAACCCUAAAACCCUAAAACCCAAAAAUAAUUUCCUUCAAAAAAAACCCCCAAAAACCAGCAAAAUCUGAAAAUCUUUAGUCCCGGUCCGUGUAACGAACCGGGACUAAAGGGCCUGUCCCUGGGGCGCUACGAGGCGCCCACGUGGAGCACCUUUAGUCCCGGAUUGUAACAGGGCCGGGACUAAAGGUUAGGCCUUUAGUCCCGCCCCUUUAGUCCCGGUUGGUGAACCGGGACUAAAGCCCCUUACGGGCCGGUUACAGGGGUGCCGCUUCCUACACUAGCGAGCAGGGACGGAGUCAGCAUGCAAGCAUAGGGGGCCAAGUUUGUACAUGAAGGGAGCAAAGUUCAUAUGAAAUGAAAUUUUUUGGCUACAACAAUCACUAUUAUAGUAGAAAAAUCAAUUUGUUACGGGAGUCUAUCUCCUCCUCGCCCCUAGAAUCGUCCCUGCUAGCGAGCACCUCUACCUGUGUUGUGAUGUUGUUAGUUCACUUCAGUCCUUUUCGCCCACUCUGUCCGUUCAUCCCGCAUUCAUAGGCUCGGUGAGCUGAGACACCGUGCCCCCUCUUGACCACUACUGUCUCCAGCCCUCCAUCUCGUGUGAGACCACCAGCCGUUGCGCAGAAGGGCCGCAGCAAUUUGGACAACCAAUGAUAUGACAGAUGGGCUACGUCGAGGUACACUCGCCAAGUUCCACUUCCCCCGAUUUGCUUGCAUACUUUUAAGUCUAGGUUUCAAAUUGGAAUGCGCUGGGACAUCGGCCCCGCUUGAAAGCAGUGUAAAAAAAUUCCAGUCGUAAUAUUUUACAACCGUAACUUAGUGGUAGGACGGAAUAAAACCUCCGUAUCUUCAUCCCCACCAAAAGCUGUUUGGAAAGAUACGCCAUAGAAAAGCAGGCGGAGCGAGCCGUCGGGAAGAGGAGGCUGGAGGAAGAGACUCGCUCCCUCACCAUCAUGGUCGCCUGCGACAACGCCUCACCUCGUCGCCGUCAUGGUCGUCGGCGCCUCGCUCCCUCGCCAUCACGGUCUCCAGCGACUCGCCAACCCUUGCAGUGCCUCGUGUGGUUAGAUCAUCAUGAGAGAUAUAGAGAAUGCACAGGAAGAAUAUAUAUGUGUUGGGCGGUGUGUCAAAUAUACCGGUGUAAUCCGGAUGUAUCCAAAAAACCCGGUGUAAUUUCUAUGGUGCGAGACGAAAUUCCAAGGACGAUUUGACCUAGACCUUUAUUUUUUUCACAGGUAUAACUUUUACGGAGCGGUUUCGGACAGAAAUACAACGUUCCAAGCGCGGCCUUCGUCUCUUGUGAGCGUGGGUUGCAAUCGCGGGGGACAGAGGAAAACAAUAUUUUAUCCAGUUUUUACAGAGCGUUAUUUUUCUUCCACUUUCUAAUUGUCUGCACGUGGAUAUCUCCCUAUGGAGGGAUUCGGCUGAGCUGUACUCCCACCUUCUAAACUUUGCUCAUCUGCGAGCCCGUCGGUAAUCACGGUGCCUUCCCUCUUCUGAAAUAGAUGUUCCUGGAAUUCUCCGACACCCGAGAUGAACCGGUGAGAUGAUAAGUUUCCACAUGCCUCUCAUUCAUAUUUCAUAACGUGUUGCAUCAAAUCCAUCCCAUUGAUUAUUGUCACUGCCUUCUCUCGCUUGGGAACCUCGACCCCAGUCGUGUUUGUUUGGCUGCUAGUACAAUACUGAUAACAUAGUUAGAGGCCACAUGGAGACAACAGGCAGCAGCAUUGAGUCCUUUAUAAGUGCCGGUCAUGCUUAGGCUGAGGAAGGUUGGUGAGCACAUUACCUAUCCAUCCAUUAAUUUGGUGACCAAUUCAUUGAGUACCGAUCGUACCUAAGCCUCAAUUGCUCUUUAUAAGUAUGGGUCAUGCUUAUGCUCUGCUCCAUUUUAUUGGCUCACCCUAGACACUAGGCUAAACACUUGUUUGCUAAGCUUUUCACAGUGCGUUCGGAACUUGUAUGCCUCAUUCACCUUUUGGAAUUUGUGGAAGGAGUGAAAUGCUCGAAAUUGUUGCUUAUCAGGAUUAUAGAGAAUUCUGUUAACAGUCGGUUGUAUCAAUGUAUAAAUAAACCAGCAUUUGUUGCUAUAAAUGGAGAAUGGAAAUUUGGCAUUCGUCGCCUGAAAAACUACUGUAUACAGGUUACUCUGUUUUAUAUACUCUGUUUCCUCUUGUUCAGUUAACAAGGUGUGGAGGACAAACACAAAUUCAUUUGUGUGUGUACAGGUUAGUAGGCUACUCUCGGUUCAUUUGUGUGUGUUCCCAUGAGUAUGAAAAUUUGAUGUGUUUAUAUUCUUAACUCUUUGGAACUGUAUCAUCUUCACUUAGUCGUGAAUUAUAGGGCAUUGCUUGUUUACACAAUUUAUAGUUUUUUUGAGUACUGUCUGCCAUUUGUCUAUAAUACUCACCUCUAUACUCAUACAUGAAUGUUCAGCUAUAGCAUUUAGUUUGAUAGGACAAAAUUGCUUUUUUAAAGGAGGAUAUACCCCGGCCUCUGCAUCUGGGUGAUGCGUACACCCACUUUAUUAAUUAUUUAUAAAUUUUUUAUAAAGUAACACAUCGGUAAAACUGAAGCCACCGUCUUGACAACAUCUGUCGCUACUUCUAUGCCCUUGAUGAAGGGGGUGCCAAAUAUAUGUGCCGAAUACUAAACAUACAUUGCACCAAAGCCUAACAUAUACAGUCGGAUGCCCUAACCCAGCCACAUAGUGGGACUGUGUCACACACCGGUCUAGGCGCACUCUCAGAAGCUGUCGUCACCGUCUUCCACUGGUCCAUCUUUAGAGCAGGUACUGACACAUCGACCUUGUCAGGCCUGCCAUCGACGCCAUCAUGGUGCCAGACAGCGCCACCAUCCUGCACGUACACAUUCACCCGCACCCGUCGCCGAAACUCUGCAGGGCCAUGAACGUACCAGGCUUUAGCAGCGUCAUCUCGAAGGGUGAGCCAUCCAUGGCAGCUGUCCAAGACGACGAGGGGGUCGACGAUACGGGCGUUGGCAAGAAGGACAUCGAGCUCGUGAUGAUACAGGCCUCCGUGUCGAGAUCCAGGGCCGUGGAGGCGCUCAAGGCUGCGAACGGCGACAUCGUCAGUGCCAUCAUGGAGUUGGCUAACUAGGGGCUGGUAGGUGGAGUUGUGUCCUGAUAAUUGGUGGUUGGGUCAAAGCAGCCUCUUAGUCUUGUCAUCUUAAAUGUUGCGGUUGCGGAAUUGAAGGCUCUUUGUGUGUUGAAAGUUGAAACUAGUAUUUAGGAGCAUGUUGUUUCGGAUGCGGGCAUGGCUCCAGAGCGAGGUGAAUGCCACUUUUUUUGCAAAUGUAGGUUUUGGAGAUGUUUUAACAUGUGACGAUCAGCAAACUUCUUGCUCUUAUGGAAAAAUCUGAAUUGGCUGUGCCGAAUUUUGCUACAAAUGGAUGUCAUUCUGUGUUCCAGACAAUAUGUCAUUCUAGCUAGCUUUUGGGAUUUGUUCCUAAAUAUACAACCAUUGUGACAUUUAGGGUCAUCUUUCAAGUUUGUUUUGCAGAUGGAUUACAACAAGUUAAGGACGACACAAAAAUAAGAUUGGCCUUUUUCUGCUUAUGAUGGAGCUAUCGGCUGGCGGCUGUGGCAAAGCUCUGUCGAUGAACAAGUGGGUUUUGUUUGUUUGGUUGUCAACUUUUUGGCAUAUCAUUACUCUCUUGCCAAUUCAUUUUUUUGCCAAUGUUUUCACUUAUAGUUGACCAAAAAUUGUUGUGAGGUAAAAACCCUUGGUCUCUUUGGUGCAAAUUCUUGGAGAUACCAUUGCUUUUCUAUGGCAAAUCCGAUUCAUAUGCAUUACUAAGUGUAAGGUUGUACUUUAGUGAGAAGAAAGAGAGUAGUAGAUUGUGCUGGUUGCAUGCUCAGGUACGUGCUGGUUACUGCAGGUGCCGCUUCUGCACUAGCGAGUGCAUCUACCUUUGUUGGGAUGUUGGCUUGUUCACUUCAGGCCUUCCCGCCUCCAUCCGCUCGGUGAGCUGGAAACCGUGCCCCCUGUGGACCAAUACUGCUUCCAGCCUUCUACCUCGCGUGAGACCACCCGCCGUUGNNNNNNNNNNNNNNNNNNNNNNNNNNNNNNNNNNNNNNNNNNNNNNNNNNNNNUCAUUGGCUCACCCUAGACUCUACGCUCAACACUUGUUUGCCAAGCUUUUCAGAGACAGUGCGUUCGGAACCUGUAUGCCCCAUACACGUCUGGAAUUUUUGGGAGGAGCGAAAUGCUCGAAUCAUUGUGCAUCUCGCCCUUCGGAGUUGCAGGUGGCCUCCAAGACUGCAAAUGACACGUCAUUCCUGUUGCAGUUGUAGAAUAGCCUACUGUUGUAUUUCUUGUUUGUAGCCUAUGUUUUCCCCUUUGAUCCCUGCUAGGUUGUUGUAAAUCUUAUCCCUGUUUCAAUUAAAUCGAAACUGAAAUCCACACACCAUCUAGUACAAUAUGGUAUCUUGAUACUAUGGUGCUUCAAUUCAUUGUUAUAUCUCUGAUUACGAGUAAAAGCGAGAGGCCUGUGAGACACCAUGGCACUAGGGCUGGUCUGGCACCGGGUUCCAUGCCAGCUGGGUUUGGAUAAAGGUCUUCGCUCAUGCCAUCUUGAACUUGAGAUUUUAUUCGUGUUUCAUUACAAACUAUUCCCAUGUAGGUUUUCUAGGCCUUUUAACGUCUUGUCUUGUCCUCUAGUGGAAAUCUUAAUCAGCUUCUCGGUGUUAGUGUAAACCUUAUUCUGGUCUUUGUGAUGUACUAUGUGUUGCAAAACAGCAAAAGUGAACAAGUUACUUUGUGACAUUUUUCAUUCGUUGGAACAGUCAUAAUGUGUUGCAUCGGCACUGUGCUGGACAUGGUCCUAAACGUUGUAUGCCAUCUUAACAAGAUUGUAAAGAAUUCUGUUAACAGUUGGUUGUGUCCAUGUAUAAAUAAACCAGCAUUUGUUGCUGUAGAUGCAGAAUGGAAAUUUGGCAUUCGUCGCCUGAAAAACUACUGUGUACAGGCUACUCUGUUUUAUCUACUCUGUUUCCUAUUGUUUAGUUAACUCGGUGUGGAGGACAAACACAUAUUCACUUCAUGUGUGUUCCUGAGUCCGCUCGACUGAAAGAGGGAGCAGGCCGGCGGCUAACAAUAGGUGUAGUGUUCCAGAUUUUGUUUCCAAUGCAUACCACAUUGCAUUGCUUCCCCAUGAAUUUGAAAAUUCUAUGUGUUUAUAUUCUUAACUCUUUCGAACUGUAUCAUAUUCACUUAGUCCUCAAUUAUUCAACACUGCUUAUUUAUACAAUUUAUAGUUCUCUUGAGUACCGUCUGCCAUUUGUCUAUACUCACAUCUAUACUGAUACAUGAAUGUUCAGCUAUAGCAUUUAGUUUGAGAGGGCAAAAUCGUGAAUGUAAAAUCUUGCUUUUGCAAGUGCGAUCUUGAUAGGUGAACCAUUUCAAUGCAUUCAGUAUGAAGUGAUGCUGGAAUUUCCAUUACACGAGUAGCUAAUCUUUUGCACGUUACCCUAAGAGGGAUAUCUUGUUCAAAAUUCCAAAAAUUAUAAUUUGUACCAAAAGACUUGAUUGCAGUCACAUUUUGUGUCAAUAUGAAUGUUACACUUGCCAUUUCCAUGAAGUAAACUAUGUCUAGUUGUAGAAUUCUCGUCUUGUGCAAAAUUUUGAAAAUCUGACGUUAUGCGGGUCUAGGAGGCGAUGCUAGUGGAAGAUCUAGGCAGAGUAGGAGUGAGAAGAAGAUUAGGAAAGCCAUGGUGAAGCUGGGCGUGAAGGUCAUAACUGGUGUGAGCUGUCUAACUAUCAAAAAGAACGAGACCGUGAGCAUCUUAACCACUCGACACCAUUGUUCCCUGUAGCAUAAUUAGGGCAUAUACAUACCGGCCAUCUAUAGCAGUCCUCCACGUUAGUUGUAGAUAACCGUAAAAACAACAUCCACAAUAGGCCAUCUCUUUGGCUAUUUGUAGCACCGUGGAAAAUAGGAUAGAGAUAAGAAACGCGGUAGUUAGGUGGAGGGAAAUAUAGCCCUAAAAACGGUGGUAGGCUGGUGACCGCGGUUGCGUCUUGUGGGGGUGGGUGUGUCAGCAAUUGGGGCUCGGCAGGGGUUGCGUAUCUGCGGUGGUGGUUACGGCUGCCACAGCUAUAGCGGCGGGGCGCGGGGUGAGUACCUUCCUUCUCCUGGGUACGGGCCGGCGGCGUGUGUUUCGGGCGGACGGGUUUUGGGCCCGAGGUGCAUUGGAGAUCUUUCUCCGAGUAGUUGAGGUAGGGCUCAGUCCGGCUUGUGCUCGUGGGUGGUGCUCUUGCUUGCCUUGCGUGUCCGGUGGUAGGUGGCGAUGGUCAUGAUAACAUUUCUUGAUGCGUGAGUCGGUGUCGGUGAUCACAUACAUGACGUCCACUACUAGGAAAAGGCUUAUACGUGGUCGUAAAUUAAUGAUGGACGUGGUGAGACACCCUCCACUGCUACUUUGCCAAAAAGAUGUCCCGCCAUAGGUCUGCAUUCAACAUUGACGGGCGCUCACGUGCAUGCGCCACUACUAGGCUCUUCCAAAUUCAAUUAUGGCCCCAAAAGAGCAGUGGUGGGCAUCUUAUUAGGCCCUCCACCGGUUCUUUGAAAAGCAGUAGCGGGCAAUUCGUAGAGCCUGUUACAGUUUUAUUUUAACGACCUGCAACAAUUGUUUUUCAAUUUGAAUGAGUUUCCUGUGGCGGGUGGUGACUAUUGCACGAUCAAAGCUAUAGUUCGGCUACCUGCCGUCAGUCUCUUAAUAUAGCUGUACGGGUGAAAACUACAGCACACCACUUCUAUUACCGACCUUAGGCCUUUCACUACGUAGCCCGGUGCCCGGCACGUUCAAAUAUAGCAAAGUGGGCAUCGAUGCCGUGAUAAUUAUUUUGGCACCGGUCUCACAUCGUGCGGGUGUAGCCCGUAAAAAAAUAGGGCCCAUAUGUACAUAAAAAAAUCGAGGAAGCCAACCUUCCAUCAUCCUUCGUGCGAGUUCUUUUCGUCCACCUCUAAAAAAACCCCCUUUCUCCUCAGAUCUAUUUCCUUCCUCACCUCCUCGUCCCGAUCCAGUGUGGAUCUCCUUCCUCACCUCCUCACCUCCGGGCUACAUAUUGGUCGGCCCAAGGUCUCGGCAGAUCGAAGGAGCGAGGAGAAGAAUCCGGCGAUGUUCGCCGAGGCGUCGCGGUGAGUGGAGGUGUUGAGCCGUGGCAGACGGAUGGUCUGAGGCAGCGCAGUGAGCGGGAUGAUGUGCGGCGGGGGACGACUGGCUGAUGCUGCAGCAAGUGCUGCCGUGUGGACUGGUGGACGGCCGGGCGCUGCUGCUACAUGAGCACGUACGCAACCGGAAGCACCAUAGGUGAGGAUGUGUGGUGUUUGCAUGCCGGAUACAAAGAAGAAAAAAAGGCUUAUAAUAUUCAGUUAGGAGAUAGUAAUGUCAGUCUAUGAAUUGGGUAAUAGAAAUAUACCUGGUGUCCAGUCUGUGCAUGGUGUGCUCUUGUUCAGUUAGUGGAUUUGGCACCUCUUUUGGCCUACAUAGUGGAAGGUCUUAUCCACCAACCCGCAGCCACAGAUACCUUAUCCGGACACAAUACUAUCCCCUUCUACCUCUCGCUCGCUUCACCACCGUCAUCACUGUCGAUGCCUCCUCCACCGCCACCACCGCCGUGGCCCCCCUCCACCGCCUCGAACGGUGUCGCCGAUCUAAUAUUCUCUGACACCCGUACUGUACUUCCCCACCUCAAACUUCCUCGCCCUCACAUUCGGCCGCCACCUCGGACGUCCUAGCCGUCACUGUCCUUUGCGCUUUCUGCUCACUUUUAAUUGAGUUGGAUCUAGUCAGAAACCAAGUUCUCAUGUUAAAGUGUUCGAGCACGCCAAGUUCAUAGUCAAUUAGUAUCAUUUAUUUCGAAUUUCAAUUUUAAACAUAGCCCCACGCUUUCUCUAUGGGACCCACCCCCACCCGGCAUUUUCCUGGAGCGAUGCAGCAAGUCCGGCGACUAGACAUGUGGCGGCUUUGUGAAAGGUAGUCCCAAAUCACCAUUCUCCCCUUUGUUUUCCUUGUGUACCCUAGCUAUGUAUUCGCGAGGUCAACAUGGUCUGCAGCCUAGCGGAAAAGAGGAGAGUGGGAAAUCGAGCUGUACCCAUUCCAGUAUCUGCUUGAAAUGAGGUUGGCUAGUUUGGGCAGAUCGGCACUGCUACUUGAUCUCCUCCGCGAGCCUCUCAGAGUUUCUGCUACUACCUUCACUCCUAAGUAUUACUCUGACUUGGGGUGACCCUACUUCGGAUGUGUUUCAUCGGCACGAUGAGUUUCCAUAUGCCUCCCAUUCGUAUUUCUUCAUGGUCUGCGUCAAUCAAACCGAUGAUUUACUUCACAACGUUCUCUCGCUCGAGAUAACAUUGUGAGAGACUACAAGAAGUAGAAUACAUACACACGGACUCUCCCUUUUGUAAGUUUUGGUGAGCACAUUAGUUAUCAUUCCAUUAAUUUUGUGAGUCCCCUAGAAUCUGUUCGUACCUAUGCCAUAACUGCCCUUUCUGAAAACAGGUUUCACUACACACAUGUGAUCUGAUCCAUUGUCUCCAGCUAACCCUGUCCUCUAAUCUGAACACUAAUUAGCUAAGCUAGCGCGAGACAGUGUAUUCAGAGCCUCUACUAAAAAGCAGAACCAUGCUCAAAUGGUAUAGCCUCGUACACCAUCUGAUAUUUGUGCAAGGAGCGAACUGCUCGGAUCUUCAGCAACGCCACCUUUUGCCCUUCGCAUUUGCAGGUGGCCUUGAAGAUUGCAAAUGAUAUGCCAUUCAUAUUUGCGUUGUCAAAAUAGACUAGUGCUAUAUUUCUUCCCCGUAUCCUAAUUUUUACUUGUUCCCUGCAAUUUGGAUUUGGUUUUGCAAAUUUUGCCGCCUACAAACGGACAAAAAGACUAACCCAAAAUCUGAAUUUUGAACUAAAAACAAGCGAAAUUAAGACAAAAAAGGCCGAAAAUCUACCAAAAAUUGAAAUCCUACAGCAAAGGCUGUGCCCGGAACUGUAACGGGCCAAAAAAAUCAAAUAGGGCCGAAAAUUUUGGCCGGCUAACAUAUCUACCGGGCCCGGGUGAAACGGACGAAUUUCGCUGGGAUUUCGUUUUUUUCGGACGAAAUCCAAAACUCAGCUUGUUCCCUGCUAGGUUGUAAAUCUUAUCUGUGUGUCAAUUAACUCCAAUGUGAAAUCAACAUACGAAUAGAAAAUCCCAACAUCACAGUGCUUCAAUUCGAUAUGGUUUCUAAAUCGGAAAAAAAGAAGGACGUGCGGCACCAAGGUGGUGCGUUGGGUCUUGCAGCAGUUCCAUGCUCGAUGGGUUGAACUUGUGGUAAGAAUUCCUUGCAAAAUGGAGAGCCUGGAUAGAUAUCUUUCAUCAUGACAUCCUGAACUCGAGGAUUUAUUCAUGUUUUUCUUUCAAAUUAUUGGUAUGUAGUGUUCCUAGGCAUUUUGACAUCUAUUCCGAAUCAAUUGUUUUAUGAACUUCCAGAUUUUGUUUGUUUUUAAAUGAAUAUUGCAUUGCCUCUUGAUGAGUUUGAAAAUUUUCAUUCUAGCUUUUGUUUUAUAUUGCCAACUACAGGAUAAUAUACUAUCUUGUUGCAUGUUUUUAGUACCCUUCUCCAUUCAAAAUCGAUCUCCAUAAUCUAGUAAUAAGUUAGUAGUAUCAUUACUGGAAUCUACACGUACGUCGAGUGCCAAAAACACUCGGCAAAGGACAUAAAAGCCCUGGCGAAGCCUUUGCCGAUUAUUUCCCUCGUCAAAGAGUAGUCGGCGUACCCCCUUCCGGCAAAUAAAAGUUUGCCAAGUUCCUUUUGUCGGUCACUCCACAAAGACUUUGCCGAGUGUCAAAACCCAGUGCACGGCAUCACUACUAGAAAAAAGUCUAUAGGUAGAACCUUACAAAUACCGCUUGUUGGGGCCUACACGCUACUGCUAAGUAUCAGUAGCGCCGGCUCGAUUUUGUGCACGUGGCAAUCUCCCUAUGGUCUGGAUUCGGCUAAACUGUACUGCCAUCUUUCAAUCUUUGCUCAUCUGCGAGCCGAUCAGUGAUCACGCUGCCAUCCCUCUUCGGCAGUAGAUCCUCCUGGAAUUCUCUGACCAGCGACAUGAACUUUUGAGAUGAUAAGUUUCCAUAUGCCUCUCAUUCAUAAUUCCCCUGGAAUCCAACCAUUGAUUGUUUUCACUACUCUUCCUCGCUAGGGAACCUUGACCCUGAUCGUGUUUGUUUGGCUGCUGAUAACAUAGUUUGAGGCCACAUGGAGACCACAGAGAGGAGCACUGUGUCCUUUAUAAGUGUCGUUCAUGCUUAGGCUGAGGAAGGUUGGUGAGCACAUUAACUAUCCAUCCAUCAAUACCAACUCAUUGAGUACCAAUUGUACCUAAGUCUCAAUUUCCCUAUAUAAGUGCCGGUCAUGCUGAUGCUUUGCUCCCUUUUAUGGGCUCAUCGUAGACUCCACACUCAACACUUGUUUGCUAAGCUUUUCAGAUACAGUGCGUUCGGAACGUGUAUGCCUCAUACACCUUUUCAUACACCUUUAUUAAGUGUGUAGAAGGAGUGAAACGCUAGAAUCACCAUCUCCAGCCCUUCGGAGUCGCACGCGGCCUCCAAGACUGCAAAUGACAUGUCAUUCCUGUUGUAGUUGCAGAAUAGCCUAAUGUUGCCUUUCUUCUUUGUAGCCUCCAUUUUUCCCUUUGAUCCCUGCUAGGUUGCCUUUUAGGUAAUAAAGCACCCUUUAUAAAAAACAAUAAUCCUAUCCGUAUGUCAAUUAAAUUCAAACUGAAAUCAACAUACGAUCUGCACAAUAUAAAAUCUUGAUACUAUAGUGCUUCAAGUCAACGCGUCAACAAGUGGCCGGCUGCUCCGUAGCAUUUCGGAGCGGCCGGCCUAUUAUGGUAAAAUUUGGUCCUUACUCUAAAAAGGGAAAUUAUUGAUCUAUCCUAAUCUAUGAAGGAAAUUCUAAUCCCUACUACUUCCUCUGUCUCAAAAUAAUUAUCUUACCUUUAUACUAGCUCUAGUACAAAGUUAUACUAAACCUAAAACAGUUAUUUUGGAACGGAUGAAGUAGAAAAUACAUACGCAGACAGAAAAAAAAAGAAUACUCCCUUCAUUCCUGAUUUAUUGAUUUCAUGUAGAUUAACUCGUUUUGUUCCGCAUGUAAUGAAUUCUCUAAAAGGUCUUAUAUUUAGGAAUGGAGGGAAAAACAUGCAUGUAAACAGGUCUGAAAGCAUUUAAUUCGGGGUUUGAAAUUUUUACACAGCCUUAACUUUCAAACCAUGCGUCAGAAUUAAGAUCCAUUUUCACCAUUGGAAUACUCGCGACGUGCUCCUCGAAACGAGAUCCUGCAUGGAUACAUUUCAAAGAAUUUUAUAUUUGUGCAAUUUUUCCCAUUUGGUGCAACUAUCUUAAAGUUGAUGUGCAACUUCCUCCUACUCAUAGACAUGUAUUUUUCGGUGAUGCAAACAUGUGUGAACAUAUGUAAUGCAAAUUCUAUUUUCUAAACCAAUGUCAUAACUUUUGAACAGAUUAUCAAAAUUAAGAUCUGCUUUCAUCAUUGGAAUCUUCAUGACGUGCUCUUUGAAACUAGAUCCCAUCCGACAAACAUUUUUGUGUAAGUCUUGGUGAGGUCAGCACUAUAAUAUAUGACAGGACAACUGCUUGUUGCUUCAAUUAUCUCCAAACUGAAACUAACAUUCCAUCUUCUAGUCUAGUACAAAAGGAAACAAAAUUCUCAACAUAAUGGUGCUUUAGUUCGUUGGUCUCUGCAUUCGGGGAAAACAAAGGUGCCAUAUUUCUUAUUAAUUGCAUAUAUUUGCGGAAGAGGAUGGGUUGACGAUUGUUGCAUACCACAAUGACGGCAUGACGCCGCUGUAAUGGGCCCACUAGCGGUUCCUUGUUAGCUGGGUCAAAUUGUAGUUAUCAUUCGUUGUAUGGAGGUUUUGGAUAGCAGUCUUUUGUGGACUUAUAUGUUGUUGCAAUUGUGGGACUGGAGAUUUUGUUUGUGUUUCAGUUAAGACUUUCUUUGGCGGGGGUUUCAGUUAAGACUAUGGGCAUCUAGAUUUCGUGGGCAUUGGUUUCCUAUCUCCAUUACCAAAAAAAGCUUUCACCCCACUUUAUAUAUAACACAACGAUCAACAACUGCCCGUUACAAACGCACGCCAUCCCAACACACGCACACACCAACGACACGAUACAUCGCCGCUGAUUGCAGCAAGGCCACCCGUAGCACUACAAGAGCAACCGGGUGGUUCUACCGGGGACACGCCACCGCGAAGAAAUGAAGUCGCAUACGACAAUCCGUAGGCUGCAAAGGCGGCGCCUUCAUGAAGGAAACGACAACAGAGUGCCGUCACUGCCCGAUCCGAGGAUCAGAAUGUCCCCUGGAGCAGCACGAUGGGCAGUGAGAGCCGCGACGACGCCUUCAAGAAGGGAACGAACUUCGCUGGCGCCGAUCCGUCCGAAGAUGGAAUAGGUUUUCACCCUGGCCAACACUCACCGCCAUCGAUCGCCACACGCCGCCUGCCACGCCGCCCACACGGCCAUGGCCACCGGAUAGCACCAAGCCACGGGCUCUGCCAAUGAGCACCACGCAACUACCUCGAGGGCCGCCGCCCCGACAUUCAAGACCUUUACACCACGUCACCCGAGAUCCGCCGCUACCCAAACCAAAGAGACGAGUGGAAAGGUCCUGCCUUUCCCACCCCUGGGCAGCACCUAGCGCCGAGAUCCAAUAGGCUAGCCAAAACUGCCCUCCAUCGACUCGUCCUGCAGCACCGGAGGCGAGAAGAGAUCGGUCCUGCGGUAGCAUGUGCGAGAGGAGAUCGGUCAUGCUGCAACGUGCACGAGACGAGCUCAGUCCACCUCACAAAUGCGAGACGAGGUCGGUCCUGCCUUACCGGACGCGAGAUGAGCAAUCUAACGCGUUGGGAGAGGGCCAUCCCUUUGACAGAGGUAGAGCUGAAACUCCGAGGAGAUGAAGCAAAGGUCGACACGGUCCGACCAUAGACGAGCCGACGCCAGAGAAGCUAGUCGUCGCCGUGGGCAAAGCCACCGAGUUACAUUGUUGCGACACACCACCAGGAGGCCACCGCCCAUGCGCCAGACCUUCCUGCACCUCCGGCCACGACCGAAGCAGCAACCACGCCGGUCCGAUGCCCUAACCCACGCCGCCCGUCAAAAUAGACCAGAUCCAGCUGGCACGCACUGCCACCACCGCCACCAACCCGCGCCACCGACCGACAGGUGCCACGCGUCAGAUCCGGCACCAUGACACCACCGCCACCAAUCCGCGCCACCACAUGUCGCGUGCUAACCUCCACCAGCCACCACUGCCACCGGAGCAAUAGUAGCGGCAGGCCCGCGGCACCCAUGACCCGCACCGCCACCUAGAUCCACGUGCUAGAUCUGAGGUUCCAUCCCUCCAUGGCUCCAGGAGGCGCACCCACCCAGCAAGCAGACCACCAAGCCGCAGAACACGUCGAUCGCCGUCGUCAGGCAGAGAUCCGCCACGUCGUCGCGCCCUACCCCAGCGCCCCCCCCCACCCGAGCUUGGCUCGCGCCAAGCUGCCUCUGCGGGGAUGCGAGGAGACGAUGAGGCCCAUCGCUGCCGGCGGUGUGGGAUGGCGGAGAGAGGGGGAGGCAGGGGGCCUGAUCGGCCGCUAGGGUUCCCUCCGUUGCCCAUGGGUGCGAGGGAGGGAGGAGUUGUAAAUAGCAUGGUCCUGUGUCUCUAUUCAAGCUAUAGUACCGACAUGAGAGGGAUUUGGACUUGGAGCACGAGGAUCAGCAAACUUCGGCUUUGCAAAUUUCUGUUUCCACAUACAUGUCAUUCUAGUUAGCUUUUUUCCUUUUCCAAAAAAUAAAAUUCUAGUUAGCUUUUGGAUUUUAUUCCCAACUACAGAUCUACAACCAUUAUGACUGGGAUUUGAGACGACUUUCCAGUUUGUUUUGCCACAUGGACCAAGACAAGUUAAAGAUGACAAGAAAAUAAGAUCAGGCGGUUUUAACUUUUCCCGACGAGCAUUUGGUACUAACGAUGAGACAAACACCUUCAAAGAGUUUUCAAGUUUCUUUCAAUCAAUUGUGACCAAUACUUCACAAAAUUUGUAGAUACGAAAACAACUCCAACCGCGCGACCCAAACGGACGCCCGUCCGCUCGUACGUAUCUGUUUUUUAAAUUGGAUCGGCCGGUGCACCUAACGGAAAGUAAGUGGAUGAAGGCAUUGUGACAGUAAAAUAAUAGAAGAGAGAUAGUUGAGGAUAGGCCAGCAAAUUAAAUAAAUGGAAAGAGGUGGGUGAGUGGAUGGGUGACAAAUGGGCCAGGCCCGAACACAAACGGACUACGCAGACACAGAUUACGUCCGCCUUGUGUCCACCCGUGACCCAAGUGUGACCCAACUUUGGGACAAGAAUGGGUCCGAGUGGUCAGAAAGCAGAGACGAAAUGAAAAUAGGUAUGUGCGUUGGGCGACCGUUUUCUACCGCGAUGACCAAAAAGAUAUGGACGGGUGAAAUGAAUCGCCCGGUUGGAGUUGCUCUGAGUGUAUGAUAAAAAAUGUUUUUGUUUGGAUGGUGCUGCUUCCCUGCUUAUGUGUUGUGUACAGGGGUUUCCGCUUCCUGCACACGAGCAUCUUUGUGUUGUCUUGAGUAGUUCGCUUCCGGCCAUUCGUUUCACAUCGAGCAGCCCCGACGGCUAGACGACAACCCUGUCAAUAUAACUGUCUCCACCUCACAGGCCAAUCCACAACAUUUUCUCUCUCUAUCACUGCCGUUGCUAGGAGCGGCAUAACGAUUCUGGUGGCCAAUGAUGCUGCGAUGCAGUCCUCUAAGGGGAAAGUUGUAUUUCACAUAUUUUAUGUGCGCAUUCAAAUCUCGAUGCUAUCAGAACGGCGAGGAUGAAGGGUACACCUACAUUGUAUCUAAAACUCUAGUCCCCAUUCUCCAUCUUUGUUAGUGUACUGCAAAAUCUUGUUCAUGAUUCAUGGUUUACAGAACCCAAUUCCCUGCUACCGUUUCAAUAUCCGCGUGUUGCUUCACAGGCAUGAAACAGAAAGACUUUCGGCAGAUCUGUACUACCGUCUUCUUACGAUUGCUCCUCCACAAGUACAUCAGGGUUGCCGCUGCAUAAACUCCUUGAAAAUACAUAGACAUCACCUCUUUCAUCGUCCCGUAUUAUUUCUGGAGAUGAUAUGUUUUCAUAUGCCUUCCAUUCAUAUUUCAUAGAAAAUUGCAUGGGUCCAACGAGUUGUUUAUUGACAGUGCUCGCUCUCACGUAGGAGCCCCAGGCCUAUUCAUAUUUGUUCUCCUGUAGUACUAUCUUGAUAACAUAGUUAGAGACCACAAGAGACUACAGAGAGCAAUGCUUCCUUUAUAAUCGUUGGUCAUAUCUCGCCAAUAAAAAAACGUUGGUCAUGCUUUGGCUGAGAAAGUUUGGUGAGCACAUUAUAUAUUCACCCAUUAAAUUUUUGACAAAGUCUUGGAGGCUGCUACAUACUUGUGUUGGCUUUUCGUCCUCAGAUCGAACACACGAUCACCCUGCAGCUCGACUAGUCCUGUACGUGCAACUCGGCUCAACGUAUACGAACUAGUUGUAGCACUCGAUAUCUCACCGGCGCUUACGCAAACACCGAGACCAGAACACACGCACGCGAACGCAGCAACACGAAGAUGGCCAGAGGCACGUGUCGUGCCUCGUAAUAAUCUCUUUAUUGCUUUUCUCGUUUUUCUGGUGCUUACAAACGAUGCUAGGUAAUGCAUAUAUAUAGGCGGAAGGCCCUGACUUCUAAACCUGAUCGUGCUAAGCACGUUACAACUUUACUAGGAAAUAAUGAACCGACUAGAACACUUAACUUAUUUGAGCUCGGACCCUUGCUGGAAUCGGACCCGAACAUACGUGUAUGGAAAGGUAAACUGACUCAAGCUAAACCUUCCACUACUACUACUGCUAAUGACCCGGCAACGUUGAUCACAUUACUAAUCCUAACCGGACUCAACGAAGCUAGCUCACGUUUGGAUUAUUCUACAACUUGAGCCUUAACAUUCUUUUCUCUUAAGAGGUUUGGCUCAAAUGUGUCCUCCGUUUCAUUGUCUCCCCUCACCCUCUAUACUCAACAGUGAUUAUCUAAGUUGAUGGUACCGUGGGAGAUGGUGCAUUUGGACACGGUGACGAAGGCCAUACUAUGCUCAGAAACUAAACCACGUCUUGGUCCUCACAGGUGGCCUUCAGAGUUCAAAUGUUGUGUCAUCCCUGUUUGUACCGAGAGAGUAGCCUACUAAAAUUUGCUUAUUUGUAGCCUCUCUGUUUCUUCUUAUUAUUCCGUGCUAGGUCCAGUUCUUGUUGAUGAUAUCCUUGCUGGUGAUCUUGCAUAGGAUUGACUGGAUUUGUGUGAACUGGGCUUUGCAAUCAUCGGGUGCGAUUAACUCAAUAGUUUUAGCCUAGAUAGUGAUGUCAUCAUUUGCGUUGACGGUUUUAAAGCAUUGUGUGAACUCGUCCAUGUUGUGCAUGAUGUAGUAGGCAGCCGUCAGACUCUUAUCAUGCGGUUUUUGGUCAAGCGAUCUUGAAUUUCACAAUUGCGACUUAGAGGUUCUGUGUCUCCUUUAAUCAAACUAGUACUGGCAUGUAGGUUUCUUAGGCGUUUUAACCUCCUAUUCUUAUGCGAGGAUCUGAAUUGGUUGCGGCAUGUUUUUAAUAUUGUAAGUUGCAAUUGAAGAUUUUGUGUCUCUUUACAAAAUAGUGGCAUUAGGUUUUCUAGCUGUCAUGUCGUAACAUUUAAUGAUCAUAACUUGCAUGCUCUUGGUCCUUCUACAGUGUUACCCAUGCUAAAUUGGCCAAUUGGGGAUACUCUGAUUUCCGAGAAAAAAUAUGGCAACGGCUUGACUGCGGAGGAAACAACUCAGUAUAAAACUAUUGAUAAGCAAGUCCACUGAGCUAUGAAUUACCAUAUGAACUUGCAUGCUGAGAUGCCUAGAAUAUUUUUCCUGUUGUUUUAGCUAGGCAACAUAUAUAUGGCCGGCACUGAUGCCAAAUUGCUUGAAUGUACACUAGUAGAAAAAGGGCCUUUUGUCUCGGUUCAUAAGGACCUUCUGUCCCGGUUUCGGAACCGGGACAAAAAGGUCGUUACUAAUGCCCU